CUCGCGCAAACUAUUGCUAUUGUUAUUGGUUGUUUCGCCGUUUUACUUUGAGCAUGAUUGGUUAAUCUGUCUGUUUUACAGGAAACUGUCCAAUGAGAAUGUGCGCGGCUCUGCGCGCCUAUUUUAAAUUUGAAAAUAUGUCCGUUACUCUCGGUCGGAGCAGCUGCUUUGCGUUGAUUACUCGGUCAGACCUGGAUUAUUUUAUAUCUGCCUGUUGAAUUCUUACAUUUUGAGCGAAUUUUAGUUGAUAUGACAAUGAAGAUCAAAAGCUGGAAUGUGAACAGAGGAAGGGGUCGUACGUGGUCUGUAAAUACUGGCGAUAUCAGAUCAAGCUUUGUAAUAAGAUUUUUUUAUCGGGGGAGAACACCCAACAGAAAGACCCAUGAUUCACCAACUGGCGCACUGAAAGGGGAGAUUCAUGUCACCUUCAUCAGUCCUUUCUUUAAUCACUGGACACCAUUAAGGGAAAGACCCUCAGACGUGUCAUAAUAGGAUAAAUGCGGCUGCAGGACAAGGCCUGGUGAGAGUCACUACAGAGGAUCAUAGCCAUUGUUGGAAUUCUGAAAGGAUGUGGGUGAAUAUCAAUCUGCCAAAUGAACAUUCACAUCUGUAUAUUAAUACUGAUUAUAUAUGAACUUGUUUGUUUGUAACUGGA
Cyprinus carpio carpio is the source of this 655-nucleotide long non-coding RNA. NCBI's taxonomy places the organism in Eukaryota, Metazoa, Chordata, Actinopteri, Cypriniformes, Cyprinidae. The record is from Ensembl.